Molecule: small RNA, 22 nt
Filed under: Brassica napus (rape)
Lineage: Eukaryota; Viridiplantae; Streptophyta; Magnoliopsida; Brassicales; Brassicaceae
Description: PsRNA_12
Source: RNAcentral
UUGAGGGUUUCAAUGAGAUGGA